ACGCUCGACACCUACGAGAGGCAGCAGUGGGGAAUAUUGCACAAUGGGGGAAACCCUGAUGCAGCAACGCCGCGUGAAGGAAGACGGUUUUCGGAUUGUAAACUUCUGUUCUUAGUGAAGAUAGUGACGGUAGCUAAGGAGCAAGCCACGGCUAACUACGUGCCCGACAGCCGCGGUAAUCUGAGCGGGCUGGCAAGGC
RNAcentral lists this ribosomal RNA (199 nucleotides) under uncultured bacterium. RNAcentral's name for it is "partial 16S ribosomal RNA". It matches the Rfam family "Bacterial small subunit ribosomal RNA", at positions 328 to 539 of the family's 1533-position model. The record is from RNAcentral.